AACAGUUUGCUUAGGUUACUUUGCCUGUCAUUAUGUCAAAAUUAAUGUUUGCUUGCCAUGAUUUUCUUUCUUGAGAUUCAGCCUAUCCUCACCCUCAUUUUGUUCUAAUUUGAGCUUGAUGAUAUUGAUUCCAAUCAAGAGGAAUAUAUUGGCCUAUUUUCGGAUUGGUCUUAGUUGGCAGAAUGUAGUCAUUCUCCUGAUGCCUAUUUAUGAUCUAAUGUUGGGUCUUGUUAGUUUUGUUUAAAAUCUAGUGAUGAUUAAUUAGUCAUGGUCACUGCUAGUUAUCUGUUAUUUUGUUCAAUUCAUUUAAUUUGUUUUACUUUAGUUUAAGGGUCGUCAAUUCAUACUCACUUUGAUGCAUUUAUUAUCUUGACCGUAAUCCUCAUUGUCUUUUAAAGCUUCGAUCUUAGGAUGUUAUUAUUGAGUACUCAUUCCUAUCCCUUUUUCUUGUUUGCAUGUGAAAUCUGCCCGAGUUCACCACUAACUCAUUCCUUUCCCUUGCAUUCCGAGAGAGCCAUGAAGGCUCAAAUUCCCUUUAUCGAGUCAGCCAGCCGUAAAAUCGAAGAACAGGACCCGGAGUUGAAAGAAUAUGCAGCAGAUUGGAGAAUUGAAAAGAUUGGGCCACUCUUAAUUCCAGAAGUUGUAUUUUGUUACUUUUGGGCCUAAGCCCACUUAUUUACCAUUAUCUUGUUAGAUUCUAGGACAGGUGGAAUUGGGCCUAAAGCCCAAUAAAAAAUCAGAUUUCUAGGACAGGUGCCAAGUGUUGGGCCAAAGGCCCAAAAACACGAUUAAGCCCAAGUAUCGGCCUAGGCGGACAAAAAUCGAACUUGGGCCCAUCUUCUCUCUUUCGUUAUUCAAUUGACUUUGCAUGCUAGUGUGUUUAUCUAAUUUUAAGGUUUUCCUAAUCAAUGCCCCAAAAGAUAGCCAUUUUGAAUUAACUAUUUAGAAUAAAGUAAAUAUUUUACUUUCACUUAGUCAAGCAUGCUU
RNAcentral lists this long non-coding RNA (987 nucleotides) under Solanum tuberosum (potato). RNAcentral's name for it is "long non-coding RNA (STUB_LNC001965)". The record is from RNAcentral. Lineage: Eukaryota; Viridiplantae; Streptophyta; Magnoliopsida; Solanales; Solanaceae.